GACGAACGCUGGCGGCGUGCUUAACACAUGCAAGUCGAACGGAAAGGCCCUGCUUUUGUGGGGUGCUCGCGUGGCGAACGGGUGAGUAACACGUGAGUAACCUGCCCUUGACUUUGGGAUAACUUCAGGAAACUGGGGCUAAUACCGGAUAGGAGCUCCUGCUGCAUGGUGGGGGUUGGAACGUUUCGGCGGUUGGGGAUGGACUCGCGGCUUAUCAGCUUGUUGGUGGGGUAGUGGCUUACCAAGGCUUUGACGGGUAGCCGGCCUGGGAGGGUGACCGGCCACAUUGGGACUGAGAUACGGCCCAGACGCCUACGGGAGGCAGCAGUGGGGAAUAUUGCACAAUGGGCGGAAGCCUGAUGCAGCAACGCCGCGUGCGGGAUGACGGCCUUCGGGUUGUAAACCGCUUUCGCCUGUGACGAAGCGUGAGUGACGGUAAUGGGUAAAGAAGCACCGGCUAACUACGUG
Molecule: ribosomal RNA, 468 nt
Filed under: uncultured bacterium
Lineage: Bacteria
Description: partial 16S ribosomal RNA
Rfam family: Bacterial small subunit ribosomal RNA
Source: RNAcentral